RNAcentral lists this small nuclear RNA (107 nucleotides) under Dasypus novemcinctus (nine-banded armadillo). The record is from RNAcentral. Lineage: Eukaryota; Metazoa; Chordata; Mammalia; Cingulata; Dasypodidae.
AUGCUUGCUUUGACAGUACACAUACUAAAAUUGGAACAAUACAGAGAAAAUUAGCAGGGCCUCUGUGCAAGGAUGACAUGUAAAUUUGUGAAGAAUUUCAUAUUUUU